This 289-nucleotide long non-coding RNA is filed under the name Mytilus galloprovincialis (Mediterranean mussel). Lineage: Eukaryota; Metazoa; Mollusca; Bivalvia; Mytilida; Mytilidae. The record is from RNAcentral.
ACUGAUUUAUUAUUUUUUAAAUAAGCAAAAUAUGGAAAUUCUUUUUACCAAUUUGGGGUACCCUUAGCUCAUGACCUUGGUCAAUAAAUAAUCAUUUUAUGUUCAAUGUAAUUUCUUAAACAAAACAAAACCCAUCUUCUUUCUCUCUAGUUUCUGGUGAAUCAAAGUAGCCUCUAUGAAUCAAAAAAAUUAAAAGUGACUUAAGCUAAAACAAUUUUGGGUUUUCUCUAACAGCUCAGGGAAAAUCACUUAAAGCAAUUUACAUCACUAUUUUAAACAUUCUGAACUG